Molecule: ribosomal RNA, 376 nt
Filed under: uncultured organism
Description: partial 16S ribosomal RNA
Rfam family: Bacterial small subunit ribosomal RNA
Source: RNAcentral
GUAGGUGGCAAGCGUUGUCCGGGAAUUAUUGGGGCGUAAAGCGCGCGCAGGCGGUUCUUUAAGUCUGAUGUGAAAGCCCACGGGCUCAACCGUGGAGGGUCAUUGGAAACUGGAGAACUUGAGUACAGAAGAGGAAAGCGGAAUUCCACGUGUAGCGGUGAAAUGCGUAGAGAUGUGGAGGAACACCAGUGGCGAAGGCGGCUUUCUGGUCUGUAACUGACGCUGAGGCGCGAAAGCGUGGGGAGCAAACAGGAUUAGAUACCCUGGUAGUCCACGCCGUAAACGAUGAGUGCUAAGUGUUAGGGGGUUUCCGCCCCUUAGUGCUGCAGCUAACGCAUUAAGCACUCCGCCUGGGGAGUACGACCGCAAAGGUUGA